GACGAACCGUGCGAACGUUGUUCGGAAUCACUGGGCUUAAAGGGCGCGUAGGCGGGCUGUCAAGUCCGGGGUGAAAUCCUCCAGCUCAACUGGAGAAUGGCCUCGGAUACUGAUGGUCUCGAGGAGGAUAGGGGCACACGGAACUGUGGGUGGAGCGGUGAAAUGCGUUGAUAUCCAUAGGAACUCCGGUGGCGAAAGCGGUGUGCUGGAUCCUUUCUGACGCUGAUGCGCGAAAGCCAGGGGAGCAAACGGG
RNAcentral lists this ribosomal RNA (253 nucleotides) under uncultured bacterium. RNAcentral describes it as "partial 16S ribosomal RNA". It matches the Rfam family "Bacterial small subunit ribosomal RNA", at positions 524 to 776 of the family's 1533-position model. The record is from RNAcentral.